UGCUUGACGAGUGGCGAACGGGUGAGUAAUACAUCGGAACGUGCCUAGUAGUGGGGGAUAACUACUCGAAAGAGUAGCUAAUACCGCAUGAGAUCUACGGAUGAAAGCAGGGGACCUUCGGGCCUUGUGCUACUAGAGCGGCUGAUGGCAGAUUAGGUAGUUGGUGGGGUAAAGGCUUACCAAGCCUGCGAUCUGUAGCUGGUCUGAGAGGACGACCAGCCACACUGGGACUGAGACACGGCCCAGACUCCUACGGGAGGCAGCAGUGGGGAAUUUUGGACAAUGGGCGAAAGCCUGAUCCAGCAAUGCCGCGUGCAGGAUGAAGGCCCUCGGGUUGUAAACUGCUUUUGUACGGAACGAAAAGCCUGGGGCUAAUAUCCCCGGGUCAUGACGGUACCGUAAGAAUAAGCACCGGCUAACUACGUGCCAGCAGCCGCGGUAAUACGUAGGGUGCAAGCGUUAAUCGGAAUUACUGGGCGUAAAGCGUGCGCAGGCGGUUUUGUAAGACAGUGGUGAAAUCCCCGGGCUCAACCUGGGAACUGCCAUUGUGACUGCAAGGCUAGAGUGCGGCAGAGGGGGAUGGAAUUCCGCGUGUAGCAGUGAAAUGCGUAGAUAUGCGGAGGAACACCGAUGGCGAAG
RNAcentral lists this ribosomal RNA (639 nucleotides) under Comamonas testosteroni. Its description in RNAcentral is "bacterial SSU rRNA". It matches the Rfam family "Bacterial small subunit ribosomal RNA", at positions 85 to 720 of the family's 1533-position model. The record is from RNAcentral. Lineage: Bacteria; Pseudomonadati; Pseudomonadota; Betaproteobacteria; Burkholderiales; Comamonadaceae.